GUCUACAGGCCUGGCUGGAGCUGGGGAGAGACGCUCAGCCCUGCCCCCCCCGGCUCCUUGUGCUCGCAGCCCUUCCUGGAGGAGAGGCGCGGAGGCUGCCCCCACUCCAAGCUGCCGGGCCCGGAGACAGAGCCACCCAGCCGCCCGCACCAAGAUAGCACAGAGCCCCCUCCCUCCAGGAAGUCAGUGUCCUGUGCUCCUGAGCGUCCCCCUGAGGCCGAGGAGCGCAAGAGCGACCGCAGGGAGAAUCGCAGCAGCACUUUCUUUGGGUACCGGCGGCAGGAGCAGCGCCAGUCCAUCUUGGAGCCCCCGGAGCCCAAGGAGGAGAAGUGGAGACUCUCCUGGAACAUGACUGAGAGCUGCCUGGCCGGUGCCGAGGGAAAACAGUCACCCCUGGAGAGAGAUGCCAGCGCUGCAUCCCCUAGUGCAACAGGGGCGUCAGGAUCCCCCCGGGGCUUCGCAGGUCGGGUGAAGAGCGCCAGCAAGGCCCCCCCACUGCCCCGCAAAAUCAGCUCCAGCGUCUAUGAGACCUUCAUGGAGCAGAACGCCACACCCAACAGUGGGAAGCUGACAGUGGAUGGAAGUAAAGGGCUGAAAUCACCACCCCCGCCACCCCUCAAAUCCAAGCGCAUAUCCCAGGCCUGACCUGGCCCACUGCCCGCGAUCGGCUCCCUCGCUGUCCCACUCAGGAGGGUGACUUUGCUGAUGAAGGUGUUUGCUGGCUGCUUGGCACACCCCCCCCCCCCCCCCCCNGGCCAGACUCAGUCGUCUUUCCUAUGGCAGCCUGAGCAUCCCACCACCCCCGCACCCUGGUUCCCGUGUGCUUGGAGCUGCAGAAGCCCCAGCCUAGCCCAGCCUCCCUCUCACAGGAGGCACCAGCCUAGGUCAGGCCUAGGG
Molecule: long non-coding RNA, 897 nt
Filed under: Gopherus agassizii (Agassiz's desert tortoise)
Lineage: Eukaryota; Metazoa; Chordata; Testudines; Testudinidae
Description: lncRNA (ENSGAGG00000005353.1)
Source: RNAcentral